GUUCACUUCAGCAGAAUGUUUGCUAAAAUUGGAAAGACAGAGAAGGUUGGCCUGGCCCCUGUGAAAGCAUGUCACGCAAAUUCAUGAAGCACUCCAUAUUUUU
Molecule: small nuclear RNA, 103 nt
Filed under: Notamacropus eugenii (tammar wallaby)
Lineage: Eukaryota; Metazoa; Chordata; Mammalia; Diprotodontia; Macropodidae
Source: RNAcentral